AAGGCCUACCUACAACCCACAGAAGGUAUAGGUGGUUCCAAUUGUAGAGAGUUUCGUCUGCUACUUGUGAAUUGAAGCUUGGAGGUUGAGCUAUGGAGAGAAAGUUUCUUCGUGGUGUCUUACUAUUGUUAACCCUGCUGCUUGCAUCUCAGGAGAUGGUGGAUGCGAAAAUGUGCAAGACUCCAAGCCGGCAAUUCAGAGGGUUGUGUCUCAUCGGUCGCAAUUGCGAUAAUGUGUGCAGGGGGGAAGGCUUCCCGGACGGUGACUGCGACGGGUUCCGUCGCCGCUGCAUAUGCUCCCGGCCUUGUCGUCCAUGAUUUCAACAAAUAUAUAGUGCAGCAGCAAAGCUACCUGGCUUCAUCAGAUGAAGGCGUGAAGCUGAAUAAAUGUGGUCUACUGAGUCAAUAGUGGUCUCAAGUAUUAAAUAAGGUCGCGAAUAUCUCUGUUUGUACUUGUAGCAGUGGUCCCUAUAUGCUUUAAUUUGUAGCGUUGCUCUGUUUAGCUUCUGAUGAGAAGUUACCUUUCAGUAGAUAU
This is a long non-coding RNA of Nelumbo nucifera (sacred lotus), 534 nucleotides long. RefSeq lists it as uncharacterized. The record is from RefSeq and is a predicted model, not a curated record. Lineage: Eukaryota; Viridiplantae; Streptophyta; Magnoliopsida; Proteales; Nelumbonaceae.